RNAcentral lists this small RNA (148 nucleotides) under Macaca fascicularis (crab-eating macaque). RNAcentral's name for it is "Metazoan signal recognition particle RNA (ENSMFAG00000064916.1)". Lineage: Eukaryota; Metazoa; Chordata; Mammalia; Primates; Cercopithecidae. The record is from Rfam by way of RNAcentral.
GCCGGGUGAGGUGGCGAACGCCUGUAAUCCCAGCUACUUGGGAGGCUGAGGUGGGAGAAUCGCUUGAACCCGGGAGGCGGAGGUUGCAGUGAGCUGAGAUCACUCCACCGCACUCCAGCCUGGGUGACACAGCGAGACUCCAUCUCAA